Molecule: ribosomal RNA, 332 nt
Filed under: uncultured eukaryote
Lineage: Eukaryota
Description: partial 18S ribosomal RNA
Rfam family: Eukaryotic small subunit ribosomal RNA
Source: RNAcentral
CCCUUAGAUGUUCUGGGCCGCACGCGCGCUACACUGUUCGACGCAGCGAGUCUUAACCUUGACCGAAAGGUUUGGGUAAUCUUCAGCAAAGUCGAACGUGAUGGGGAUCAAUCAUUGCAAUUAUUGAUCGUGAACGAGGAAUUCCUAGUAAGUGCGAGUCAUCAGCUUGCGCUGAUUACGUCCCUGCCCUUUGUACACACCGCCCGUCGCUACUACCGAUUGAAUGGUUUAGUGAGAUCUCUGGAUUGACGCUGGCUAGGGGGCGACCCUUGGCCAGACUGCUCGAGAAACUGCUCAAACUUGAUCAUUUAGAGGAAGUAAAAGUCGUAACA